CAUGUGAUUGAGACUGACUCUCCGUGAUAUCCAUUUCGCUGUGAAGACUGUGAAUGUCAUCUUGUCUGCCAUGUAAGACAUAUUUGAAAAAUUCGUACCUGAAAAAUUUUAUACAGAACGUUGUAGGAACAUGUUCACGAUGAGAUUGCUGAAAUGUUAUCAGUUUUGUGUACACAACAGAAUUGAUAUGGAUCUAUUUCGGAUUGUUUCCAUAAGCUACGACUCUAAUCAGUAAAAGUAAUGUAACUCGUUGCAGUCAUUGCAGAUUACUUUCUCGAAUUUAAAUCAAUGGGGAGCACGAUGUAUGAGCAGAAAGAUUGACGGCUCGAACAAGCGGUUGUUCAGCAAUUUCAUGAAAUUGAUUCAUUAGAGUACGAUUUUAUGGAUCGAUUUCCAUUUCUUCAUCCUUCUAAUAUUUCACAAUAAUGUACUAAAAAAAAUUCACCUUGGUUUUCAUCAAUGAUAUAAUAAACAUCGAAGAUAAGGUGAAAAAUUUUUAUCAUUUUGAGAUAACAGAACAGAGAAUUCAUAAGAUAUCUAGUCGAGGCUCACAUUUUCAUUCUUCACAAGACAUGUUGGAAUAAGCCAAAUAAUGCUUGCAAAUAAAUUCAAUUUGGUGUAAUUAAUUUGCAAAUACUUAUUAUUUGCAAUUGUCUGAAAGAUCCCGACUAAUGACAGUAUCUGACCGGAAUCAAGUUUGUUGAACCUUUGCAUUGUUAUACAAAUUUUUUAAAUUCCAUCCCAACAGUUCAGCUAUAAACACCUAUGAUUGCGUCAACUUUCAAUAUGAAAUUUUAGAGUUAGGAAAUAUUAGCAAAAUAGUAGGAUAGAAGAUUUCUUACGUCGUCCAACAAAUAGCUGUUGCUGGCAUUUGAUAAAUUACGCGAGCAUUGAGUCCCCUGAAAUACCCUUUGAUGCCUCCAAAUUUAUAGACGGUCCUAAAAGCAUCCCGCAUCCCUUCAACUUGAACACCACCCUGUUGUGUAUUCAAUAGUGUUUUACACACAUCUAGAGGUGUGGUAGCUGCUGCUGCAAUAGCGCCUGCCAUUGCACCUGAAGACACAUGACGAUAAUAAUUUUUAAUAAUAUUGAUAUUCUCCUUUUUCUCUCAGUCAAAGGCUAAAGAACCAAUUAUUAAUCACAAGUUGAGAAAGAUAAAAGACCUCUACAAUUACCAGAAAUCAUGUGGGCUUUAGGAUUGUAAACGUGGUCCGGAUUGGUCCAAGACUGUGCGAAUUCAUAAACAAUAAAAUGAAGGCUCUGGAAAGGUACGUUCAUUGCUAACUGUGUUGUGUAACUUCUAUAGAAUGCUGUUAUACCCUCAGUUUUAUAAACGUGCCGUAAACAUUCCAAUACAUUUCUGUGGGGUGAGUUGUACAUUUGCAAUCGCUGUUUUACCACUGUAACAAUCAUUGAUAUUUUUAUUACUGUAUUUCAUGUUAUUCCCUUCAUUUGAUUUCUGCCUAUUCUUCAAAUUUCUUCUUCCUAUAUGUCAACUACAUACCUUCAGCUGGAUUCAUGACUCCAUCAUGAAGGACGGUUGAUACACAUCCUGCGGCUCCAUAAACAAGUGCAUGCGCAGGUCCUGCUCCAAUGAUGACUGCACCCACGCCUCGUAUCGGUCUGAGAAGGCCUUCCUGUCUAACCAUUCUGCUGAGGACGGCACCAACUCCGCCACCUCCACCUGGGCCUGGCGUCAGAGCUUGCAUUCUCGUCUGAACAGAAAAGAUAGAAUAAUAGUAAAAUGCUCAUCCCCUAGGGCAGAUAACUCCUAUCAUCAAAUGCACUGGACACUAAGGAUAUAUUAAUCAGUUCCGUGUGAAUUGAUAUGCACAAAAACAGCUUAUACUUGAAUCUACGAUCAUUGCUAUUAAAUAUGCGAGUGAUUAUAAAUAACCAUUUCAAUUCCAUACACCUGUAGUUUCUGAGUAUCAUGCAAAAACAAGUUUCUAACACGGAUAUAUUAUCUUAGUGACUACUCCACUUUGGCUUGUUCAUAUAGAUAUAAAUUCAAAACAGUGAUGCCUGGGGAUGUCUAAAAGAUUUCACUAAAAUUCAUUGAAUUGAGGAAAUAUCUGGCUGAAAGUUGGGAACAAAAAUCUUAAUCACGCCAUAGGCAUACUUUUGAGACAUUUUGAGACAUUGUUAUCACAGAGGUCCACAGCCUUUAACCUUUAGAUUACUGAGAGGCUACUAAAGUGGCUUGAAAAAAUUGUAAUUUCUGAAGCAAUGUAAAAGCAUAUUAUAAUACUAAAACUAAGCAUAUAAGUAUUUAAUAAAUUUUAACCCACUCUAGUGGUUUUCCGGUA
Molecule: long non-coding RNA, 2309 nt
Organism: Athalia rosae (coleseed sawfly)
Lineage: Eukaryota; Metazoa; Arthropoda; Insecta; Hymenoptera; Athaliidae
Exons: 3
Source: RefSeq, a predicted model, not a curated record